Molecule: long non-coding RNA, 2862 nt
Organism: Sparus aurata (gilthead seabream)
Lineage: Eukaryota; Metazoa; Chordata; Actinopteri; Spariformes; Sparidae
Source: Ensembl
GUGACCUUCAAGUGUUCCCCAGCCUUUAUAUCUCGUAAGUCUGUCUGAAAAUAUCUUUCUCUCUUUGAUGCCAGUUUUCCAAUGAAAAUAUUGCUAAACUAUGUAUCAGCUGACAUCUGUUACAGCAAAUAUGCUUACUGUAGCCAUGUACGCACCACAAGGCGCAAGAGGUUAGGCUAUAUCUUAUUCUGUGACAUCACAAAUUCUGCAUUAGCUUGCAGGAAACAAUGGUAGCUUGGGCCACACUUACAAAUAACCAUGAAAAGUUAUAUACCUAUCGUAUACUGGUAAAAUCUUGCUCUUGUAUCUCUAUAGAAUAAUUACCAAGAUCCAAAGUGAUAUCAACAAGGGGGAGCAGAAGAAGGGCGUUGGUCUGAAGUAAGAAAACUGAUUUUAUGUUACAGUUUCAACUGAGUGUAACUGUGACUGAACAAGUCUUGACUUUCAUAUUUUGUCUUUGACCAGAUUAAAAGCACAAAAAUAUCUAAAAAAAGGUAAAGAAGACUUUCGGUUAAAUAUGACACCGAUAUCACAAAGCCAUCUCUCCUUAGGCCCGAUCUUCUGUUUUUUACAGCUCCCCCUCCUCCAGUUUUUGUACAGGAAGAAGAAGACUGGAACUCAGAUGAGUUUGUAAGUAAAAGACCACAAGCAACCUAACUGAAUUACUAAAUGUAAGUGACAACAGUACUAAUGUCACAUGUCUGCUGUGGUCAGGACAAUGACAGUGACUAUGACGCUCCGCCUCAGGAGUGGGGCAACAACAGCUACACAUGUGAAAAAAAUCAGUCACAACCAGCUGAACAACAAGACAGCGGCGAGGCAAGCGACGAAGACUACGAACAGCCUGACUCUGAAGACACAAUGAUGCCACCUCAUCCCCCAAGAGAAGCCAAACUUCAUGACAGGCACUACAGAGACCCUGCUCCUGAGCCGCCAACUGCUGAAAGGGCUUCAAAACCUCCUCCCAAUCCACCGAGAAUAAACCCUGCCCUUCCAAGACCUUUCAAAGCAGCAGGUGAUUGUACAUGUAAUGACUCCACAACCAACUGAUUAAUCGGUAAUGAUACAGAUAAUCUCAAACUUGUGUAAUACAUUUUUUCCUAUUUUUAACAACAGCCAGCCAACCCAGUCUGAAUAUUGACAGGAGCAAGAAGCCAGGACUACCUGACCCAUCCCAGAAAGACUUAAAAAAAUCAAGUAUGUGCUGCAUAUUAUGUAGUGAUUGGAAUGUUUGUAAGAGUAUCACAACAGUGUAGUAAUCCUGUCACAACAUUACACAUUUCUAUCUGAUACUAUGCAUCAUGUCCACAAGAGGGCAGUGCUGUCCAAGCUCCUGGCUUAUCCACCAAAAAGAGUCUUCCACCAAGAUCCCCCAAACCUACAGAUGUCUUCAACAGGUAGGCCAACCCGAUCAAUUCAUGAGCCUAGCAAGCCCUUCACUCUGGGAAAUGCAGUAGUCAAAGGGCUCUCAAUUCAUCUCUCCCUCCCCCAGAGGAAGCAAAUUCAGUCCACCUCCUCCAGUACCAGCAGAACCUGCCAUGGUUAAACCUUCAGUAGCAGGACCACAAAGGGUGAGAAUCAAAAGUGGAAUCAUAAUUAAAUCAUAAUUUCCAUAUGUAAUGUGAGCACACAUUAAAUCAAUAUUAGAUAAUAUUGCAAUUAUUUUGCGAUAUAUUUGAAUGAGUAAUGAUGUAGGUGGAAACUGUUUGUAUUGCAUUUAACUUUCACUAGACAAACUAUUUUAAAAUCAUUAUGCGAUGUUUUCUAGAGUCUGUAACAACCAACAUGUUCCCUUGUUUCCUGUUUGGAGGGUAUGAUUUGAAUGCAGAUGCAUCUCUGUUGCAACACAAAUCUUCAUUUAAAUGACAUGUACAAACAUGUUGUGUCACAUUUCACCUUUUAUCAAAAAUUUGCAGCUACAGUUGUUGGAUGUUACACUUGGCCAUAUCGCGCUUCAAUAAUAUUUCAAUUAAUUAUUCAGCAUUAAUAUUAGACAUAAGAUGUUCUGUGCAACAGCACUCUGGAGUACUUUCUCUAGGGAAACAGCAGGUGGCAACAUUGUAAAAGAACACAUACAAUGAUGACAAGAGUUACUUUAUUUAGUCCUUACUUUGACAGUUUUAUUAUGGUGCAUCCAGGGUUUGGAUCCUGGCUGGUAUGGAGGAAAUAUGACCAGACAUCAAGCCGAAGUUUCUCUCAGAGAGGUGAACAAGGUCAGGUGCUGCCUCUCACAAAUCUCUCGUAUAUUCUCUUUCUGGAGCAGAGACAGUCACACAAACACACACACACACACAGAAAUAUACUCAAAAUUCACAGAAUUGUAUUUGCAGUAAUAUGUCAAACUGUGAGAGUUUGCACAUUUAUGUCUUCAGGAUGGGGCAUUUUUGGUGAGGGACAGUUCAAGAGGCUUGGAUGAGCACCCCUACACCCUGAUGCUGAUAAAACAAGGCAAGGUGUACAACAUCCAGAUCCGUAAGCAAGGAAACUCCUACUCCCUCGGCACUGGCCACAGCAGCACCAAGGUAAACUGAAAAUAAUGAGACUAUUAUCUACAAUUUUAAAAUGAGAGGAAAAAGUCAGUGUGCCUAAAAGUAAACGGAAACAUUCACAUUUUGCGGCACGCCUAGGAGAGUGUUUGAUGCUGACUUGUGCUGCCCUGCAUCAUUAGGUCUAUGUCAUCUUUUUUUGUGUUGCUGCUGUGCUGUAGAGUUUCCCCGGGGUGAAGGAGAUGAUUACCCAUCACACACACACCCCACUGCUGCUCAUUGAUGCCACAGACCAGAGCUCUGAAGUGCAGAGCCAGUGUCGCCUGCUGCACCCUGCGGGACUCUGACCAGCACCGACAACAAGCUUAAUGUGGGC